UACAACAUUUGACUCUUCGUCUUAUUUAAAACUUUUCUAUGAUUAAUAAUAAUAAUAUUAUUAUUAGAUAAUAGAACAUGAAAAGGACUUUAUGGGUGACUAAUAUUUUUAAUUUUUUAUAUUUUUUUCAAAUAAGACGGGUGGUAAAUGUUGGACAAAAAAACCCA
This 167-nucleotide microRNA precursor is filed under the name Oryza sativa Japonica Group (Japanese rice). Its description in RNAcentral is "MIR812 microRNA precursor family". It matches the Rfam family "MIR812 microRNA precursor family", at positions 27 to 191 of the family's 205-position model. The record is from Rfam by way of RNAcentral. Lineage: Eukaryota; Viridiplantae; Streptophyta; Magnoliopsida; Poales; Poaceae.